This 2040-nucleotide ribosomal RNA is filed under the name Salmonella enterica. RNAcentral's name for it is "partial 23S ribosomal RNA". It matches the Rfam family "Bacterial large subunit ribosomal RNA", at positions 911 to 2925 of the family's 2925-position model. Lineage: Bacteria; Pseudomonadati; Pseudomonadota; Gammaproteobacteria; Enterobacterales; Enterobacteriaceae. The record is from RNAcentral.
UGUUUCGGCUAGGGGGCCAUCCCGGCUUACCAACCCGAUGCAAACUGCGAAUACCGGAGAAUGUUAUCACGGGAGACACACGGCGGGUGCUAACGUCCGUCGUGAAGAGGGAAACAACCCAGACCGCCAGCUAAGGUCCCAAAGUCAUGGUUAAGUGGGAAACGAUGUGGGAAGGCCCAGACAGCCAGGAUGUUGGCUUAGAAGCAGCCAUCAUUUAAAGAAAGCGUAAUAGCUCACUGGUCGAGUCGGCCUGCGCGGAAGAUGUAACGGGGCUAAACCAUGCACCGAAGCUGCGGCAGCGACACUGUGUGUUGUUGGGUAGGGGAGCGUUCUGUAAGCCUGUGAAGGUGUGCUGUGAGGCAUGCUGGAGGUAUCAGAAGUGCGAAUGCUGACAUAAGUAACGAUAAAGCGGGUGAAAAGCCCGCUCGCCGGAAGACCAAGGGUUCCUGUCCAACGUUAAUCGGGGCAGGGUGAGUCGACCCCUAAGGCGAGGCCGAAAGGCGUAGUCGAUGGGAAACGGGUUAAUAUUCCCGUACUUGGUGUUACUGCGAAGGGGGGACGGAGAAGGCUAUGUUGGCCGGGCGACGGUUGUCCCGGUUUAAGCGUGUAGGUGUGUGUUCCAGGUAAAUCCGGUUCACUUUAACACUGAGGCGUGAUGACGAGGCACUACGGUGCUGAAGCAACAAAUGCCCUGCUUCCAGGAAAAGCCUCUAAGCAUCAGGUAACAUCAAAUCGUACCCCAAACCGACACAGGUGGUCAGGUAGAGAAUACCAAGGCGCUUGAGAGAACUCGGGUGAAGGAACUAGGCAAAAUGGUGCCGUAACUUCGGGAGAAGGCACGCUGACACGUAGGUGAAGUGAUUUACUCACGGAGCUGAAGUCAGUCGAAGAUACCAGCUGGCUGCAACUGUUUAUUAAAAACACAGCACUGUGCAAACACGAAAGUGGACGUAUACGGUGUGACGCCUGCCCGGUGCCGGAAGGUUAAUUGAUGGGGUCAGCGCAAGCGAAGCUCCUGAUCGAAGCCCCGGUAAACGGCGGCCGUAACUAUAACGGUCCUAAGGUAGCGAAAUUCCUUGUCGGGUAAGUUCCGACCUGCACGAAUGGCGUAAUGAUGGCCAGGCUGUCUCCACCCGAGACUCAGUGAAAUUGAACUCGCUGUGAAGAUGCAGUGUACCCGCGGCAAGACGGAAAGACCCCGUGAACCUUUACUAUAGCUUGACACUGAACAUUGAGCCUUGAUGUGUAGGAUAGGUGGGAGGCUUUGAAGCGUGGACGCCAGUCUGCGUGGAGCCGACCUUGAAAUACCACCCUUUAAUGUUUGAUGUUCUAACGUGGAUCCGUGAUCCGGGUUGCGGACAGUGUCUGGUGGGUAGUUUGACUGGGGCGGUCUCCUCCUAAAGAGUAACGGAGGAGCACGAAGGUUGGCUAAUCCUGGUCGGACAUCAGGAGGUUAGUGCAAUGGCAUAAGCCAGCUUGACUGCGAGCGUGACGGCGCGAGCAGGUGCGAAAGCAGGUCAUAGUGAUCCGGUGGUUCUGAAUGGAAGGGCCAUCGCUCAACGGAUAAAAGGUACUCCGGGGAUAACAGGCUGAUACCGCCCAAGAGUUCAUAUCGACGGCGGUGUUUGGCACCUCGAUGUCGGCUCAUCACAUCCUGGGGCUGAAGUAGGUCCCAAGGGUAUGGCUGUUCGCCAUUUAAAGUGGUACGCGAGCUGGGUUUAGAACGUCGUGAGACAGUUCGGUCCCUAUCUGCCGUGGGCGCUGGAGAACUGAGGGGGGCUGCUCCUAGUACGAGAGGACCGGAGUGGACGCAUCACUGGUGUUCGGGUUGUCAUGCCAAUGGCACUGCCCGGUAGCUAAAUGCGGAAGAGAUAAGUGCUGAAAGCAUCUAAGCACGAAACUUGCCCCGAGAUGAGUUCUCCCUGAGACUACGAGUCUCCUGAAGGAACGUUGAAGACGACGACGUUGAUAGGCCGGGUGUGUAAGCGCAGCGAUGCGUUGAGCUAACCGGUACUAAUGAACCGUGAGGCUUAACCUUAC